UUUUUUUUUAAACACACUUCCCUGGACAUAGGAACCAAUACUGCUUUUCAGUGUCGUAAGGCAGCAGGACCACAGUUCUAGAGAGGUAGCCAUGUGAGCCCUGUGAGCUUUAAGUUACUGAUGAUUUUGGAAACUAGAUGGAUCUGAUUUAAUUUUCAUGUUCAUUGUGUUACAAUAACGCGAUGUUUUCACAGUAAAGAUGGUCCCCAUAAGCUUAUAUUUGAAUGCUUAGUCACCAGGGAGUGAAACUGAAAGGAAUUGUGUCAACAGGGUGGGCUUUGAGGUUUCAAAAGCCCAUUCCAGGCCCCCUUCUCUCUUCCCCUCUGCCUGCAGAUUAGGGUAUAACUCUCAGGUACUGCCCCUGCACCACGUUCCCUGCCUGAUGAUAAUGGGCUGAGCCUCUGAAACUGAAAAGGUCAUCUGCCUGUAUACUCAAUACUUCCCCAUCAACAUUACUGGUCACACAAUUGUGAGUUCCCAGAGUGCACCAUCCCAGAGGCGCUUGGUGGAGCCAGGGCCGCACUUACUCUCUGAUCUUCAGGACUCAGCUCUGACAGAAGCAUCUCCGUGUUGUUCGUGCUCCAUUCCCAACUGUGGUUGAUGAAAUAUUCCAGCAUGGAAAUGGUUCUCAGGAGGCGGUUCAUGAGCUUCAACAUCCUGAGGGAGAGACCACAAAGCUGGUGCAGUGCAUCCUGCCCACUACCUCGUCCUCCACCGCAAGGGUGGCCCAGGAUCAUUAAGAAAGUGCAAGCCCUGGUGGGCUCACACAGUAACACCAGCACUCGGGAGGCUGAGGCAGGAAGACGUGAGAUCAAGAUCAGCCUGGACUACCUACUGAGACCUAGUAAAAGUCUUUCCUCGGUUUGUGGGUCACCUCCUUUGGCACAACAAUAACAGUUUCCACUAUCAAGCUUUUCUUUAAUCUUUUGUACAAAAGUACCUUAUCCCUUCAUGUGAGUGCAUCCUAGCAAUCAGUCUAACAAAUUGCUCAUCCUCUCUAAAGUCUACUUGUACUAAAAGAGUUUAUGCAUGCCUAUGAGUUAGACUUGCCAUUUCUCCUCCCCACUUUCCAUCUAAUUCUGUUAAUAAAGGAAAGAAACUGAA
Molecule: long non-coding RNA, 1104 nt
Organism: Mesocricetus auratus (golden hamster)
Lineage: Eukaryota; Metazoa; Chordata; Mammalia; Rodentia; Cricetidae
Exons: 2
Source: RefSeq, a predicted model, not a curated record